CAGUAGCCGCGGGAAUACGAAGGGGGCUAGCGUUGCUCGGAAUGACUGGGCGUAAAGGGCGCGUAGGCGGCUCAUACAGUCAGGCGUGAAAGUCCUGGGCUCAACCUGGGGUGGUCGCUUGAGACGUGUGGGCUAGAGUGGGGAAGAGGGUCGUGGAAUUCCCAGUGUAGAGGUGAAAUUCGUAGAUAUUGGGAAGAACACCGGUGGCGAAGGCGGCGACCUGGUCCUUUUACUGACGCUGAGGCGCGAAAGCGUGGGGAGCAAACAGGAUUAGAUACCCCCGUAGUCCCUGUCUCUUAUU
Molecule: ribosomal RNA, 301 nt
Filed under: uncultured bacterium
Lineage: Bacteria
Description: partial 16S ribosomal RNA
Rfam family: Bacterial small subunit ribosomal RNA
Source: RNAcentral